GCAAAUGUCAGGACACCUAUUUUAAAGAAGGUACACACACACACACGAACGCGCACAUGCACACGCACAACGAUAAAAAGUCCAUAAACCUCAAAUUGCCUGCUACUUCCAUUUAGGGCUGCCAUUUAUAAUGCUGCCUUUGACGAGUGAUGUAUAAUGUAUGACUGAAAAUGGGCUCUGAACAGUCCGGGAACGACUCGUGUUCACUCAAGUGUGUGUUAGAUGAGGUGCAGAUGUGCUUCGACGGGAAGAUGUCGUGAAUGAUGAAUGAACAGGUGGAAAUAAAGAAGAUGCUGGUGUUCCUGUCCAGUCAACCACUUUAUCACUCCAGGGACAUUGAAUGCAUCUUCAUCCUCAACUGUUCCAUCUGGGGUAAUUCGAAAUAAGGAGCUCGUCUAUUCUCCCACGCCAAUGACUUUGGAAGAACUUGAAGGGUGAAUACGAGAAGUUAUGUCUUCCAUCCCACAAGAGGAAAUCAGUUAAUGCGGUUCCCAGGCGGCUUGAGAAACUGGUGGCUAAUGCUUGGCGCCCAUUUCGAAUUUUAAAUAAAACU
Long non-coding RNA from Phycodurus eques (leafy seadragon), 553 nucleotides. RefSeq lists it as uncharacterized. NCBI's taxonomy places the organism in Eukaryota, Metazoa, Chordata, Actinopteri, Syngnathiformes, Syngnathidae. The transcript is spliced from 3 exons. The record is from RefSeq and is a predicted model, not a curated record.